UGGCUCUCUCUGACCUGCUUCUGAACGCGCGCACCCACCCGUACGCUUCAUGGGACGAGCACACACCUGCACACAGCCUUAUACACGUUACAGAUACACAGUCACCGCUUGACGCGUAUACACGGAUAUACAUCACGCGCGCAGCGAAAGGAGAAGGACUCAACAGUGGCACCACUUGUGUGGCGGAACGAACAUACACUCAACAGACACACACUAAUACGCAGUGCACCACAGCAGCACCAUCAUCGACAUCGCCGCCGUUGUCUCUCUCUCUCUCUUGCUUCUGCUGCUCCCCUUCCUCUCUCCCUUUCUCCCUCUUUCCGUGAAGCCGCACGUCGCUUGCCACCAUCGCGCGGCCCCCUCUCUCCUUCUGCGUGAGCUUUUGUCAGAGACAUUGCCAAAUGCCUUCGGUCCCGUUAACAGUGGCGGCCUGCGACGCCGCCGGGACUCCACCAGCGCUCUUCGAACCACGCAAGCAGGAGCCGAUGCGUCGGCACCGCCCUUCCGGCAGCACGCCAGAUCGCCUUCAGGAGGCGUUACGAGCUGACGCAAGCCUACCGAGUGCGGCACCCACGCUACAGAGCGUCGGCUCAUCAUCGUGAAGGAGGCUGAUAUUGGGAGGGAUGUGGACAGGAAUGUGGGGCACUCCUCCCAGCACUCUGUCCUUUUCACUGUCUCCCGACCCCUCUCUCACUGCUGCCCCCCCCCCCCCCCCCCCGUCUCCCUCACCAGUUGAAAGCGAUGCCCCGUGUGCACGGGUCGACAAGAGAAGAAGGUUAGGGCGAUGAAGGCUCGCGUCUCUCUGCAAGGUGCGCACCUGUGUGUACGUGUGUGUGUGUGUUUCCGUGGUGUGUGUACACGCCAGGGCCGAUGAAAGUACCCCCUCCCUCCCUUCGCACACACACUCACACAGGUGCGCCGAGGCGUGUGCCCCAACAAACCCUGUUUCCAGCCGCUCUCUCUCCCCCCGGUGGGCUGCAUUCUCUGAAGGAGCGCACUCUCUCCUUCAUGUGUUGUGCGUUCGUUCUUUGCUUCGUUUCACUUGUACCUUCCCUUUACGUUUUACUCACCACCUCGAGGCAGUGCGGCGGCACGGCAUCGAUGCGGCGGAUGGGGGAUGGGAGGUGGGGCAGACGACGAUGAUCACGUGCCCCCUUCACCCCCAUUGCUGCCGGUGGGCGUCUCCACUGCCGUGCAUACCCCUUCCCCGCCCUCCCUCCUCUUUCCUCCCCUCCCCUUCUCUUCCCUACGCGCGUUUUUGCCCCCUCUCUCCCUCUCUCCCUCUCUCCCUCUCUCCCUCUCUCCCUCUCUCGUCCCUUCUCCUUCGUCAGAUGAUACGGCCGAUAGCGCGGAAAGAAAGGGGGACGGGGGCGGCGGGGGACUAGGAAAGCCGCUGCGCGAGACGGAUACACAGCGAAGGGAGGGCGGCGGGGAUGUGUGCUUGCCGAGUACCAUGGCCUAGACAAGUUCGUGGCCAACUGCCGCUGUUGCCACUACUGCCAGCUUUCAUUCGACCAUCCGCAUCCCCUUCGUGGACACUUGGGUUCACCUAUGCGUAUGCGGCGAUGAGUUACAUGGCGUACACGCAACUGUGCGUGUGCGUGUGCUUGCCUACAUGCUUUUUGAAUGUAUUUUGAUGUUUGCUUUCGGGGGUGAGGGUCUCUUCUAGAUGCAUACUGGCUGCUGGUUGACGAG
Molecule: unclassified non-coding RNA, 1695 nt
Filed under: Leishmania donovani
Lineage: Eukaryota; Euglenozoa; Kinetoplastea; Trypanosomatida; Trypanosomatidae
Description: gene:unknown
Source: RNAcentral